UUGUUUUCUGAAAUGUAAAAGUGUUUUCUGAAAUGUAAAUUUGUUUUCUGAAAUGUAAAUUUGUUUCGGUACUUGUAAAAGUGUUUUGCACCCCACGGCCACCGUACAAACCUGAGAGUCUGUGUGACGUUGUCCUGCUGUCACCGGAUCAUCACACCGAGGAGCUGAAAUUCAGUUUCCUUAUCCCUCAAUGGAUCCUGAAAAGAGGUUCCUGAGCCACCCGCUAAUGGUUUCCUGCCGAUCGUCUUCCAGGGUUUUCAAUAAACCUUUUGACUCUUACCUGCUGUGUCCUGCUAAACUUUCAGGUCCUCUGAGUUAUUCAUUACAAGAGGUUUGGAGUUGUUUUGUUUGCUUCAUAAUUCUGUAUACUUUUGAUGUCUUUACUAUGUAUUUACAAUGUUGAAAGUAAUAAAUACGGGAAAGCCA
Long non-coding RNA from Girardinichthys multiradiatus, 426 nucleotides. RefSeq lists it as uncharacterized. Lineage: Eukaryota; Metazoa; Chordata; Actinopteri; Cyprinodontiformes; Goodeidae. The transcript has 2 exons. The record is from RefSeq and is a predicted model, not a curated record.